RNAcentral lists this long non-coding RNA (2832 nucleotides) under Zea mays. RNAcentral describes it as "long non-coding RNA (ZMAY_LNC000393)". Lineage: Eukaryota; Viridiplantae; Streptophyta; Magnoliopsida; Poales; Poaceae. The record is from RNAcentral.
UCGGAUUCCUCGUGCCUCUCGGUGUAUAAAACUAGAGCCCCGUUUCCUCCCCUACCCUCCAUCCAACCCGAGAGCGUCUACGUCGAGCACAUGGAGAAGAAAGAGUGGUAGAAGGUUCCGCCGGCAAGGAUCUUGCCCAUGUUGCCGCUCGGGAUUCAAUUAGGGACCUGGAGGGUUUCGUCCUGGUGUGGGGUCGACGCACCUUGCUUCGCUGGGUGAGAAUUUGGGAUGAAGGUCCGAACAAUUGAUCGUCGGAGGCCGAUUCCGCCGCUGGACCGCAUCCCAUCGUGGCCGGUCCUCACCACCACUUAAUCACUGGUAUGAUCACGUUUCCAUAAUUCGCCAUCGACCCCUCUUCUUGUAGCAUCCGUCCAAUCGCGAUUUGGGGCACGGGCGUGCUGAUUCAUCGUGCUGCGGCGAGCUCACCGGUGGUGCUCCGGUUGCCUUCUCCCUGUCGCAACCGGGAGGUGGGAGACGAUCCAUUGGCCGUUGAUCCCCUAGCAAGCGGUUAGGAUUAGAUAAUGGGAGGACCGUUGAUCCGGGGAUGUGAGGUGGAGAAUCAAUCUGGCGUAGCCCUUCGCGCGUGCAGAUCCGGGUCGUGGAUCUGUGAUCUGAUUGGCUAGAGCGGUUAAAGCUGGUGAGAGUGUCUUCUGGCCGUUGAUUGCGGAUCCAUCGGCUCUGGUAGCAUACCGGUUGGAUUCAACGGCAGAUCUAAUCUAGAGCGUUGGUUUUUAAUCGUGCGACUGGGGCGCAUCCAUACCCCUUCGAUCCCGUACAUUUGUAUAAGAGCCCCUUGGCUUCAAGAUAAUAAACCCACCAUCCAUCCCUGUGUAGUAGAAUUACAAAUGAAUCCCAGAAACUUACAAAGCAGCCCUGUGCUAUUAAGGAAUUGUGUCCCCAGUCCAGAAUUAUUAGGGGUAUUCAUAAUUAAAUCAGAAAAUGAAUUUUAAUAUAAAAAUAAAUCCAGAAAAUUAUUUAAUUCAUAGAAAAUCUAUUCUAACUCCGAAUUGAACCAUUCUAGUGGCAUUAAUUUUGUUUUAAUAUUGUUCAUCACCUAGUACCUCUGUUUAGCCAUGAAACUUAGAUUAAAAAUUAUACACCUAGUUUCUUUUCAUCUACCACUUAAAAUUUCGGAAAAUCAUAAUUAAUUCAUUUUAACCCUGUUUUAAUCUGUUCAAAUUGCAUUAGCUUCAUAAUAAAAUUGCUCAGGCAUUAGUGACACUGUUUUGUCAUGUUCUUAAAAUAAUUAAAUACAUAUACUUAUAGGGUUAACUAUCCUAGCCCAAUGAAAAGAGGUAUUUUAAUUUGGUUCCUCUAAAAUUGACUAAAGUAUGAUCUUUAAGUAGAUUAUAAAUUAGAGUAAAAGUUGAGUAGUCAUAUCUUUAAUAUCCUUACUCAUAUAGUUUACAUAAUCAACAUAGAAUAUAGUUUUACAUACUUAAUCUUCAAUAUCUUCAAUAAAUCAUAACUCCUUAACCGUAGCUCCGAAUUUAAUGGUUCUCGAACCCACGAUCUCGUAGCGACGCGUAGAUUAUUAUUACGUAGUUUAUUCUUAUGUUUGGUGUGAUGUUAAUUUUACCUAUACCAUUUUUGUCUAUAUUGCUACGAUUAGCGCGAGGUCACGAGUCAUCUGAAGAGCAAGUUGGUACCUGGAAUCUCAAGUCCCAGGCAAGUUGUGCCCUUAAUCACUUCUUUUUACCCAGUCAUGUUCUGAUUAAUGAUAAUGAUCUGCAUAGGUUAAUUUUGAUGGGAUCCAAUAGGUUACCCUAGUUUGACUAUCUUUAUACCUUGUUUACCACUGAAGUUUUGGGUAGUACCUGCUAUUGCUUUAUGUGGUUUUGGGUAUAGAGAUACACAUUAUUCAUGAUUAUACUUUUAUUAUCAGUUGUUAUUUACUAUUCAUGUUAAGAUCAUUAUGUUAAUUGGAACAUGGAGCGACCACCCAGGAAAACAGUGCUACCACAAGGGUGGUAUGGGAUGCCCUUGGCUGACUAAUUAGGAAAGCUAAUGGAGGACUACCUUACCCGAAAUGGGCAAGGACAGUAGGGGAGUGGUCAGUGUAGGGAGGCCCUUGGGUUUAUUUUGUUGCGAUGGCGGUCGGGCGAGGAGUCCCUGCAAUGGAGCUUCCUAUAAACUGUAGCGGGUUUUCUGAAGCUAGUGGAACUUUGUAAAGGCCUCGUAGUGUUACCCUGCCUCGCCUCCUCAGUAGAGUUGUAUGGGAUUGGCCUUCUCUUGGCAUAUGGGUAACAUGACUUGUGGGUAAAGAUGUGCAACCUCUGCAGAGUGUAAAGCUGGUAUAUCAGCCGUGCUCACGGUCAUGAGCAGCUCGGACCGUCACAUGAUUAAUUUAUGGAACUAAAUUCAAUUUGUCAUAUACAUUGCAUUGCGAGUGUUGUUAUUACUUUUGUUCUACUACUUAAUUGGGUUGGUAUUUACUUAUACUUAGUAAUUGCUAAUAAAAUUUUGACCAAAUUUAAAAGCAAUGCUUAGCUUCAACCAUCCUCAUUGGUAAGCCUUACACUUCACAUGAGCUCCCACCUUUGGUGAGUUCAUGCACAUUAUUCCCCACAACUUGUUGAGCGAUGAACGUAUGUGAGCUCACUCUUGCUGUCUCACACCCCCCAUAGGUUAAGAACAGGUACAACAUGAUGAGACGCAUGGAGGAUGCUGUGAUGAGUACGUGAGUGGUCUAGGGCAUCGUCUCCCAGUCAACUUUGGGUUGCUGGAUCGUUGUCUCCUUAUGAUGUAAUUAUUUAUUUAUUUUGUACAAAACUCCUAUUAUAUAGUAAAGAUGUGACAUUCGUUUCUGUACCACUAUUCAUCAUAUGUGUG